UACGGAGGGUGCAAGCGUUAUCCGGAUUCACUGGGUUUAAAGGGUGCGUAGGUGGGCAGGUAAGUCAGUGGUGAAAUCUCCGGGCUCAACCCGGAAACUGCCAUUGAUACUAUUAGUCUUGAAUUCUGUUGAGGUUGGCGGAAUAAGUCAUGUAGCGGUGAAAUGCAUAGAUAUGACUUAGAACACCGAUUGCGAAGGCAGCUAACUAAGCAGAUAUUGACGCUGAGGCACGAAAGCGUGGGGAUCAAACAGG
This 253-nucleotide ribosomal RNA is filed under the name uncultured prokaryote. RNAcentral's name for it is "partial 16S ribosomal RNA". It matches the Rfam family "Bacterial small subunit ribosomal RNA", at positions 524 to 776 of the family's 1533-position model. The record is from RNAcentral.